ACUCUGACCAGCCAUGCCGCGUGCAGGAAGACUGCCCUAUGGGUUGUAAACUGCUUUUAUACAGGAAGAAACACUCGUACGUGUACGAGCUUGACGGUACUGUAAGAAUAAGGACCGGCUAACUCCGUGCCAGCAGCCGCGGUAAUACGGAGGGUCCGAGCGUUAUCCGGAAUCAUUGGGUUUAAAGGGUCCGCAGGCGGUCAAUUAAGUCAGAGGUGAAAUCCCAUAGCUUAACUAUGGAACUGCCUUUGAUACUGGUUGACUUGAGUUAUAUGGAAGUAGAUAGAAUGUGUAGUGUAGCGGUGAAAUGCAUAGAUAUUACACAGAAUACCGAUUGCGAAGGCAGUCUACUACGUAUAUACUGACGCUCAUGGACGAAAGCGUGGGGAGCGAACAGGAUUAGAUACCCUGGUAGUCCACGCCGUAAACGAUGGACACUAGUUGUUGGGAUUUAUCUCAGUGACUAAGCGAAAGUGAUAAGUGUCCCACCUGGGGAGUACGAUCGCAAGAUUGAAACUCAAAGGAAUUGACGGAA
Molecule: ribosomal RNA, 535 nt
Filed under: uncultured bacterium
Lineage: Bacteria
Description: bacterial SSU rRNA
Rfam family: Bacterial small subunit ribosomal RNA
Source: RNAcentral